AGAGUUUGAUCCUGGCUCAGAAUCAACGCUGGCGGCGCGCUUAACACAUGCAAGUCGAACGAGAAAGGGAGCAAUCCUGAGUAAAGUGGCGUACGGGUGAGUAACACGUGGAUAUCCACCUCUUAGUGGGGAAUAACUUUGGGAAACCGAAGCUAAUACCGCAUAAGUCCGAGAGGAGAAAGCAGCAAUGCGCUGAGAGAGGAGUCCGCGGCUGAUUAGCUAGUUGGUAGGGUAAUGGCCUACCAAGGCGACGAUCGGUAGCCGGCCUGAGAGGGCACACGGCCACACUGGCACUGAGACACGGGCCAGACUCCUACGGGAGGCAGCAGUGGGGAAUCUUGCACAAUGGAGGAGACUCUGAUGCAGCGACGCCGCGUGGACGACGAAGCCCUUCGGGGUGUAAAGUCCUUUCGACCGGAACGAUAAUGACGGUACCGGUGGAAGAAGCUGCGGCUAACUACGUGCCAGCAGCCGCGGUAAUACGUAGGCAGCAAGCGUUGUUCGGAAUUACUGGGCGUAAAGAGUUCGUAGGCGGUGCGGCAAGUUCGGUGUGAAAUCUCCCGGCUCAACUGGGAGGGUGCGCUAAAUACUGCCGUGCUCGAGUAUAGGAGAGGUAAGCGGAAUUCCUGGUGUAGCGGUGAAAUGCGUAGAUAUCAGGAGGAACACCUGUGGUGUAGACGGCUUACUGGACUAUAACUGACGCUGAGGAACGAAAGCGUGGGUAGCAAACAGGAUUAGAUACCCUGGUAGUCCACGCCCUAAACGAUGCAUACUUGGUGUGAGCCAUUCACUUGGUUCGU
Molecule: ribosomal RNA, 800 nt
Filed under: uncultured bacterium
Lineage: Bacteria
Description: bacterial SSU rRNA
Rfam family: Bacterial small subunit ribosomal RNA
Source: RNAcentral